CAAUAAUAACAAUAACAGUGAUAAUAAUAACAGAGAUAUGACUAAUAAUAAUAAUAAUAAUAGCAAUAAUAACCAGAGAAGGUGUCAAGGCAGGACGCCCACAACUGUUUUGAAGAGUGCUGAAAGAGAAAAAAACGCCUAUGGCUACCCUUGCUUUUUGUUGUAAAUAGCUCUCUAUAGAUUUUAUCUCAGUGUUACCUUUACAUGUUAUAUUUGCACUAUUUGGGAACCUCACCACACUCUGGGAAUGCAAGGCCUGUAAUAUAGUUCUGUGUCUAAUUGUUUACAUCAACUGUUUUGAAGUCACGGUAUUUCGUACUCAUAGUCACAAAAAUUACUCUAUUGAAUAGAGUACAAUUAUCUGACUUUUUCGUGCUUGAUAGAACAAAAUAUAAAUCUUAGCAGCCAUUUCGGACUUGCGCAUGUGCACACUGCCCUCCAAUCUUAUACAUUAUAACAGAGCUGCUCUGUUUGUGCGGUAAAAUCACUUUAUUUUUCUUAUAGAUACAGGAUUAGAUCAUAAGAUAUACUUUUCUUAUAAACUUUUCUUUACUUUUAUGUAACUUGAAGUAUGUAAAGCCCUGAUGUUAUACACUCCAGUACAGUAGGUGACGGUACGCACCUACACACAUUGGUUUGUGAUCCGCCAUUAAAUCAGAGAAAAGGAGGAUACAUCCAAGGUAAGGUCAAGCGAUCGUGUACAAGCCUCUGCUAUCAAUUUUUUUUUUGGGGGGGGUAGACUUACAUAUGUGCAUAGAAGCUUAAAUGGCAACUAGCAAAGUUCACUACAGAGCUAACACUGUUUAGCAUACCAUAGCUGUGUACCGUAAUUACACCAAUAGACUCACAGAGUCAGUACAUUUGACUGAAUGCUGUAUACCAUAACUACACCAGUAGAUGCACAGCGCAAUAUAAACAGGCGGCUCACUACCCUGCAAGCUGAAUAGAGGUUGACUCUAAUUACUUAUAGUAAAUUAAACUACAACACAGUCCAAGAUCAGUUCAGACAUGGUAUAAUUUUGUACUUAGUUGUUAGUUUUUAUUAAUGAAUAAUUUCCUUUUUCUCCUUGCAGCAUCUAUCUACUGUGCAGCAGCUAUUUGAACCUCAAAGGCACUUUUAAGAGCCAACCUCACCCUGUCAUCUAUCUAUCUAUCUAUCUAUCUAUCUAUCUAUCUAUCUAUCCCUAUUACUGCUCUAUCUAUCUAUCUCUUUGUGUAUAUCUGUCUGUCCAUCUGUUUGUCUGUCUUACAAUGGCCAAAAAAUUCAUACUUGACCCCCUUUAUCUCCAGUGCCAAGAAAGAAGACACCCUGCCAUUGGGUUGAUACAUGACCAAAUCCUUGGUGAAGCAUUUGUAAUUUCAGGAAAGGUCCAUCAAUAUGUAUGUAAAAAAACAGUCAAUGGAUGCAUUGAUAUGUUAAACUGUCAUGUACUGUUUUACAGGCAUGGGCACUGAGGUGUUGGCACUUCCUGCAAAGGAUUCCUUGCCAUUACCCAGAGCACAGCUAAAUCCUCAAGAGAUAUUUGAACAAAACAUGGAGAGGCUUUCUGCCAUACUAGAGUCAUGUCCAUGUUCUGCUGAGCCUGAGAGAAGCUCAGCAUCAUAGUGGUCUGUUCGGCAGCCUCAGACCGCUGGGAGGAAGCACGGCUAUACCACUUCACAUGCCUUUUGGAAUCUGAGGCUGUUGGCAAGCCAUUGUGUUGCUUCUCCACCAGCCUGCUACAAGGUUGGAUCAUCAUUAAUCAAAUAAUAUUGUGUAUCUAUGUACAAAGUGAGCUCACCUGGAUUCUCCAGACAAGCCUUUGCAAAGCUGCUGGAAUAUCAAACACUGUGUGCAGGAAAAGUAUGAGACCACAAAUACUAUGUAUUAUGCUAACCAGUUAUUAUCAGCAAAUUAUUUCCAUAUACUUUGACUAUCACAAUUUUAUUUUUUUUUAACUGAUAUAUGUUCUAUUCUGGACAGAUAAAUGGGAAAGCCCCGCAGCAGAGCUCCCUUGAGUUUUCAUGUCUCCUUUAAGAAAAAACAGCUUUGCUGUGAUGCCCCUCUCACCUACUCCGCCUGCACACCUGAAAUGGUAGCAGUGUCAGCAGAUUUCAAUCUGGCCAUACUGGAAGGUGUACUUUAAGUUCUCUUUGGUAAAUUAGUCGCUACUGUAAGUGACAACAAGAGUAGGAAAUGGAUGUGAUAUUUUUUCCCCUAGAUCUAAUGACACUACCUUGGCUAUUUUUAGCCAAAGACAGUGAGGUUAUCAGGUUUUGACAAUACAAUACAGAUGGAUGAAGAAUGUAAAUUUAAACUAUACACUCACAAAAUAGUUCUUUAACUAAAAGAAUCAUUACAUUAUCCUGUACCUCUAGAAGUAGUCUAUACUCCCUACUGCUUACAUUGUCAGACAUUUAUUUAAAACUUGCCACUGUCAGUCCAGCUCUUAAGGGCCUUACAGAAAUGAAGCCCUUCCUGAGCAUCAUGCAUGCAAGAGCUCUUGCUACCAAGUGUGAGCUAUGUCUUUUAUCUGUUAUUUUCAAUUGAAUAUGCUAUGUGUUACUAUGGGAAUGGACAGCCUUGAGCUGAGUUCCAUGUCCCUAAUAUUUGUCCACAUUGUCUGCUUCAUUGGCUCUAAUGUACCCUUGCAAAAGAUAAAAUGGAGUGGUUGGAACCAGGAGGGAGCAGGCACAACUGCCGGUGAGGAGGUGGAGUAAGUAAACAGCUACCUCUCAUGUUGUGCCCUGACAACAAAGUACUUGUCAAAAGCUAUCUCACUUUAAUAAGUCUUGGAGUUAGUGCUAUCAUCUAAUAUUGUUUAUAGAUUGCAGACCAUAAAGUAAGUCCUCUUAUACCAGCAUGUGUAGACCGGCUCACUGUGCAUGCAAUGAGUUGGAACCGUCACAAAGAUGAGACGCUACACAAGGUUCGCUCCAUGAGAUAUUGGAGGACAUUUAAAAGGGCAAAAGAAGAGUUAGAGAGGCUGUCACAUCUUAAGAGGGAGCUGCAGUGCUCAGAUGCAAUGGAAGUACAGUGGAUUGCUGAAGUCAAGGAAUGGGCAGAGAGUGGGGUCUCGAGGGUCUUCAUCUGGGUGUGAAGCAGUAGAAACAAACCCUCUACUGUCAGAGUAACAGCAACAAGAUUCGCCACCGUCUCCAAAGAAAGUUGACAGUAGACAAAAAGCAUCUUCUCCAGGAGAUUGAAAAGUACAAUGGUCUUGUUGCAGACUGCUCCAAAAAGAUUGAUGCGGCCCUGGUGGACCAGGCUCUUGUUGGACAGAGCACUGGUACAAUAUGGCCAUGGAAGGACCAUGUCAGUGUAACAAUCGGUAUCAAGAAAAAGCUACAUGACCAGGACAUGCUGACAACACGGCUGCAAGAGGAGCUCCCCAUCCUGGUAUAGGAGAUGGCCCAGCACUUCUUAACAAGCCAAUAGGUUACACCUGUGCAUAUGUCAGCUGAGGAAGUGCUUGGCCCUACUGAACCCAGCGCACUGUCAAUCUCAUCUCCAGAGAGCUCCUCCCAGCAAGGAUAUGAGAGAGAGAUGAGAGGACGAGACUCAAGGACGGAGGAAUUUAAUUCAUCAAACGGAACGUCUUCACUCCAUUGUCAUUUAGAGGAGACGACAACUACUCAUGAUGCACAGCACCUCAACUGUUAAAUAUCAAAAAAUACUGCUCCACAGGUGGUUUUCCUAAUCAGCUGUAUUACAACAACAGCCCGACUGUUUACUGUCCCAUCAGAUAAGCUGACCAAUCAAUAGACACAUUGGAUCAAAGGGGUGUUGCCAUCAGGUAAAAAACUUCCACAAAGGAUGCAUCUGUGGUUCCUUGCUCUGAGCUCCUCAGGGAGCCUCCUCUCUCAUGAAGAUCCUCCAUGAUGGUGGAGGGACAUUGGUUUCCGGGUCAUGGAGAAGAGAGGAUGCGAGGAAGCAUAGAGUUAGCAUAAUGAAAAGCACCCAGAGAGAGAGAGAACAAAACAGGGGACCAACAAGAAACACCGUAGGGAUGCAAACAGCAGAAAUACUAGGAGUGAGGGAGAGGCACAGUCGGACAAUGACAGAAGGAUUACAUGGUCAUCUAUAGAGAGAGAAAACUCUCUAAUCUCUAAAGGUUUAUUUCUACAGAGACCACCAGGGAUUCUUAUAGCCAUGUGGAAGAAAAAGAUAUUGUCAUAGAAAUCUCUGUGCACACUGUAAUAAGCAAACAGUUUGCUAAACUGUGCACAGGGAUUGAUAAACCAUGCAAACCUAUUGCUAAUCUCAUUGCUUAGGGGAAAAAAUGCAUCUCUAAAUUUGGGAAUUGUGAUUCAGUUAGAUUUAAGUACUGUGAUUCAGUUUUUGAUUGCCAAAGCAGCUAAACGAGAACACAGACUAAUACUAUAGCUGGUGGUAGAAAAAAUACAAUAAUAUAUCAUAGUAAUGGACUGAAAACAAGAAGUCACAGCAUGAUAGCCAUUAUACAAAUCCUCGCUGAUUGUUAAAGCAUUCAUUAUAUCUCAAAAUACAUACCCUGGCCCUUGCCCUUGUUUAUCUUCACAUAUAAAUAAUGCAUAAAUAAUAAGUGUGCAGGAACAGCACAGUGCACAGGAAAUGCUUCAGUACAGUAUUAGAUUUUUCUGACAGCGAUUACUACUCUGUGUUUUCAUACAGUGGAUAAAAAUAAAUAAAAUAUUUUCCUCCUCACAGUUUAUCCAUCUCUAUGCUCGAUUUAUCUUCAUCUUUUUUCUUGGUUUAUGAAUCCCCUGGCUUGAUUUUAGCAAUCUGUCCACAUGGAUUUACACAUCAAUAGUUACUUUUUUGUUUGUUUUUUCAUCAUGUGACCCCAGCUGGCUCUGUUUGGCUCUUUUCUUGGGGAACAGCAAUAAGAUAUUGCAUAUUUAAAGUAAAAUCUUAUUCUUUGAAAGUACAGCCAUUAGAUAACAGCUGUAGUUAUCCAACUGUAGUCAAAUAUUUACUCAAGUAUGAUAAUAGUACGUAAAUUGUACUUAAUAUAUCUGUUUACUUCUCCCCUCUGCAUGCUACAAGUUUAUGCUACAGGUCAAAGCAAGAAAAAAAAUAUUUGACAUGUCCCACAAACACAAACCUAUAUUCUGUGUUAACAGUGUCAUAGGCAUCAUGCCUCACCAGUGCCAGGAUAAAAGAAGUCUGUUAAGUGCCUACAUUAUUUUCUCUGCAUGUGGCAGUACAUUACUUCAAAACAUCUUGAACCCUCGUCAUGAAUAUACAUCAAUAUGAAUGUACACUUUUAAGUCCAUACAGUGUUUCUCUCAUGGUCUGAAUCUCAUUAACACUGAAAUAUAAGAGGAUCCAUGAUAAGAGGAAUUGGAAUAAAAAUGUGCUGUGCCAAGUUUGUGAAUUUUCAUUUGAUUUCUUUGGUGAAAUGAGGUGAAAUAAGGCCAUAUCAUGUUCAGGUUCAACAAGACAUCCCAGUUAUUCUGGGUUUUUUUUUUUUAAACAAUUUCAUCUUCUUUUAAUACUGGAGUGCAGUAAUAUACUGAAAAUCACCAGCAGUUGUACUUUGUAGGAAAACAUGAACAUUACCAAGCUCAUAUGGAGCAAAAUAAUCAAGCUCAAAAGUCAGCUUAUUUGUUUCCUGAGUUUUCAAACUCAUCUUUUGGCCUUCAUCAAUGAAAAGUUGGCUCAGUGGUCAUGAAGAUUGUUCAGUUCAUUGCUCAUUUGGCCUAAAUAUGGAAUUUUUACCUUUUCGUAACCUGUCUCUGUCUGAGAAUAGUCUUUGAACUGUCAAACUGCAGAAUUAUGAAAAAUAGAUUUGAACAUGAUAUUACAUAGUAAGUAAUUAUAGAGUAU
This is a long non-coding RNA of Thunnus maccoyii (southern bluefin tuna), 5791 nucleotides long. RefSeq lists it as uncharacterized. The transcript has 9 exons. NCBI's taxonomy places the organism in Eukaryota, Metazoa, Chordata, Actinopteri, Scombriformes, Scombridae. The record is from RefSeq and is a predicted model, not a curated record.